AAGUGGGGACGCAGAAGGUAGAUAUAUGCGCACAGUUGGUGUUGCGUUUAAGCAGAAAGGAUAAGAGAUAGGCAAAUCCGUCUCUUAUGAAAUCUGAUCUGUGAUGAGGACCGAAAAACAAGUAGGGAGGUUAUACGAAUCAUACUGCCGAGAAAAGCCACUAUCGAAAUUAAUAGAACCCGUACCGCAAACCGACACAGGUAGGCGAGAAGAGAAUUCUAAGACGCGCGGAAGAACCUUUGUUAAGGAACUCGGCAAAAUGACCCCGUAACUUCGGGAGAAGGGGAGCCAUGAGAAAUCAUGGCCGCAGUGAAAAGGCCCAAGCGACUGUUUACCAAAAACACAAGUUUCUGCCAAGUCGAAAGACGAAGUAUAGGAGCUGACACCUGCCCGGUGCUGGAAGGUUAAGGGAAAAUGUUAGUGAAAGCGAAGCAUAGAACUGAAGCCCCAGUAAACGGCGGCCGUAACUAUAACGGUCCUAAGGUAGCGAAAUUCCUUGUCGGGUAAGUUCCGACCCGCACGAAAGGUGUAACGAUUUGGGCACUGUCUCAACAAAGGAUCCGGUGAAAUUGUAGUAUGUGUGAAGAUGCACAUUACCCACGGCAGGACGGAAAGACCCCAUGGAGCUUUACUGCAGGCUGACAUUGGAUUUUGGGUUUAAAUGUACAGGAUAGGUGGGAGACUAAGAAGCUAGUACGCCAGUAUUAGUGGAGUCGCCGUUGGGAUACCACUCUUUUAAAUCUAGAAUUCUAACCUAGCCCCUUGAAUCAGGGGAAGGGACACUGUCAGUCGGGCAGUUUGACUGGGGCGGUCGCCUCCUAAAGAGUAACGGAGGCGUUCAAAGGUUUCCUCAGCACGGACGGAAAUCGUGCGCAGAGUAUAAAGGCAAAAGGAAGCUUAACUGCGAGACAGACAAGUCGAGCAGAUACGAAAGUAGGACUUAGUGAUCCGGUGGCACCGAGUGGAAGGACCAUCGCUUAACGGAUAAAAGCUACCCUGGGGAUAACAGGCUUAUCCCCCCCAAGAGUCCACAUCGACGGGGAGGUUUGGCACCUUGAUGUCGGCUCGUCUCAUCCUGGGGCUGAAGUAGGUCCCAAGGGUUGGGCUGUUCGCCCAUUAAAGAGGCACGCGAGCUGGGUUCAGAACGUCGUGAGACAGUUCGGUCCCUAUCCGUCGUGGGCGUAGGAAAUUUGAGAGGAUCUGUCCUUAGUACGAGAGGACCGGGAUGGACAAACCAAUGGUGCAUCAGUUGUCGAGCCAUCGGCAUAGCUGAGUAGCUAAGUUUGGGAAGGAUAAGAGCUGAAGGCAUCUAAGCACGAAGCCAACCUCAAGAAUAGAUUUCCAAGAUUAGGAAGACCCCUUGAAGAAAAUGAGGUAGAUAGGACGCAAGUGUAAGUGUAGUAAUAUAUUAAGCUAAGCGUUACUAAUAGGUCGAAAAUUUGACC
This 1445-nucleotide ribosomal RNA is filed under the name metagenome. RNAcentral describes it as "bacterial LSU rRNA". It matches the Rfam family "Bacterial large subunit ribosomal RNA", at positions 1464 to 2925 of the family's 2925-position model. The record is from RNAcentral.